CCCAGGGUCUGUGGCUGCCAUCCUAAUGCGAACCGAAAGGCAUGCCAAUUAAAGCCAGCUUGAAGGCAGCAAUCGUUGCAGUCCUUCAACUCCAACCUCAAACGUCAACCUCAGCACGAACCUCAGCUGCACCCAAAAAAAAAGAGAGAAUCUGUGACCAAUCCGCUUAUGACUGCAGGCUGAUGCCGAGUCGGAUCCGAUGCGAUUCCCGCCUGGCCCACACCUCA
RNAcentral lists this long non-coding RNA (227 nucleotides) under Drosophila guanche. The record is from RNAcentral. Lineage: Eukaryota; Metazoa; Arthropoda; Insecta; Diptera; Drosophilidae.